CAGGAUGAAAUACUCUCUCAGGAGGAAAUAUUCGACCGGGGAGCAUGGAACCCGUUCCAUUCAACACCACAGUGUGAAAUCAAUGGGGGUUUUACCAGAGCCAAUCCAUUGCAUGCACAUUUCAAAGGGACCAGCAGAAAAAAUAUUGGC
Molecule: long non-coding RNA, 150 nt
Organism: Lampris incognitus (smalleye Pacific opah)
Lineage: Eukaryota; Metazoa; Chordata; Actinopteri; Lampriformes; Lampridae
Exons: 3
Source: RefSeq, a predicted model, not a curated record